UAACCUGCCUCAUACAGGGGAUAACAGUUAGAAAUGACUGCUAAUACCGCAUAAGCGCACAGCAUUGCAUGAUGCCGUGUGAAAAACUCUGGUGGUAUGAGAUGGACCCGCGUCUGAUUAGCUAGUUGGUGAGGUAACGGCCCACCAAGGCGACGAUCAGUAGCCGACCUGAGAGGGUGACCGGCCACAUUGGGACUGAGACACGGCCCAA
This 211-nucleotide ribosomal RNA is filed under the name uncultured bacterium. RNAcentral's name for it is "partial 16S ribosomal RNA". It matches the Rfam family "Bacterial small subunit ribosomal RNA", at positions 122 to 334 of the family's 1533-position model. The record is from RNAcentral.